Non-coding RNA from Myodes glareolus (Bank vole), 669 nucleotides. NCBI's taxonomy places the organism in Eukaryota, Metazoa, Chordata, Mammalia, Rodentia, Cricetidae. The record is from RefSeq and is a predicted model, not a curated record.
UCUACCACAGGCUGGCCUGAAACUGAAGAUCUUCCUGCCUCUAUCCCUUGAGUUCCAGGACUGUGUGCAAGCCAUCAUCUCUGGUGGAAGACUGUCUUAUUCUCUGGUGCUGGGGAUGGAAUCCAGAACCUUGUGAAAGUUUAUGUUUUGGUAUAAAGGUUGUUUGAAGAAUAAACAAGAGGAAUUUUCUGGAUGUGAACUCAGGAUUUCAUGAGGGAUCACUGAGAAUCUCCCUCCCAAUAAAGCCAUACACUGGACAGUUCCACAGAGCCUGCACAGCAGUGAAGAAUCCAGCUACCCCAAGAUGUGAGUGCAUCCCAGCUGUCUCAGGAUCCUCCCACCCCAAAUCAGCAGUAAGCACUUUUUGAGACAGGGUAUCUCUGUGUAAGAGCCCUGGCUGUCCUGGAACUCACUAUGAUGACCACACUGGCCUCAAACUCACAAAGACCUGCUUCAGCCUCUAACGGGGCAUUCUUAUGGAAGUUUGGAAGGCAAGAACCAAGAGAAACCAGACAGUACUGACCCAGCUCCUGAUGUUUCAGAAGGAAUAAGAUCCCUACGGUGGAAGGGGGCUGGAGAGAUGGCUCAGGUAUUAAGAGCUGGCUGCUACGCCGAAGGUCACAACUAUUUAUAAUGAUAUCUGGCGCCCUCUUCUGGCCUGUAGGUAUA